GACCAAUUAGCACAGUUGGCCAGAACAUGGUGCUAAUGAGGCCAAGGUCAGAGGUUCAAUUCCCUCAUGGGCUG
Cnephaeus nilssonii (northern bat) is the source of this 74-nucleotide non-coding RNA. The record is from the annotation of a GenBank genome assembly. Lineage: Eukaryota; Metazoa; Chordata; Mammalia; Chiroptera; Vespertilionidae.